RNAcentral lists this ribosomal RNA (432 nucleotides) under uncultured bacterium. RNAcentral describes it as "bacterial SSU rRNA". It matches the Rfam family "Bacterial small subunit ribosomal RNA", at positions 29 to 506 of the family's 1533-position model. The record is from RNAcentral.
AUGAAUGCUGGCUGUAUGGAUAAGGCAUGCAAGUCGAACGGUCCGCAAGGACAGUGGCAGACGAGGUAGUAACACGUACGAACGUACUCCAAAGUCGGGCAUAGCUCGUCGAAAGACGGGGUAAUUCCCGAUAGUCCCGAAAGGGUAAAGAUUUAUUGCUUUGGAAGCGGCGUGCGUAAUAUCAGCUUGUUGGUAAGGUAAUGGCUUACCAAGGCUACGACGUUUAGGGGAGCUGAGAGGCUGACCCCCACCGAUGGGACUGAGACACGGCCCAUACUCCUACGGGAGGCCGCAGUCGAGAAUCUUCCGCAAUGGACGAAAGUCUGACGGAGCGAUACAGCGUGGUGGAUGAAGUGCUUCGGUACGUAAACACCUUUUAUGUGGGACGAAAUUAUUGACGGUACCACAUGAAUAAGGGGCUCCUAACUCUGU